AAAAAGUAUAGUCAUUUGUUAUUAUUAAUAUUAAUUUAUUUAAAAGUUUUUAUUUUUAAUUUUAGUUUAUUUAUGUAAAAAUUUAAUUGUAUAGUUUAGGAAUAGUUAAUAGUAAUUUAUAAUUUUGAUUAGAUUAUUUUGUUAAUGCUAUUAUAUGGGUGUGGAAAGUUAUGUAAAAUUAAUUACAAAUUCAAAUAAUAAAUAGAAUGUACUCAUAGGUCAGAAAUGGAUGCCAGCCGUUGCGGUAAUUUCUAUGCUUUUAAAUAUUAUACAAUAAUAUUUAUGUUAUUGUUGCUAGUAUAUAUAACAAACAAAAGUAUACAACUAAUAUUUUUUGUUUUUAUAUACCUGUAGGUAUACGCAAAUAGUGAAUUAUAGUAAUUAUUUAUUUUAUUAGUAUUUAUUUAUUCAAAUAUAUAUAUAAGCGGAAUUCUAUUAUUUUGAUAUCAUGAUAAGGACAAGGAAUGAAUGUGAAAAUAUUUUAAUCAAAAAUAAUAUAUUAUAUGAAGUGUGGAAUAUUAGUUAAAAAAAUAAUAUAUAUAGGUAUUGUUGCCCACCAAUUUUUACAAUGAAAAUAACGUGCAGUAAUUAAAUUAUUUAUAAAAAUAAUUUAGAUACAAUU
The sequence is a ribosomal RNA, 622 nucleotides long. It matches the Rfam family "Trypanosomatid mitochondrial small subunit ribosomal RNA".